GCCAGACUCCUACGGGAGGCAGCAGUGGGGGAUAUUGCACAAUGGGGGAAACCCUGAUGCAGCGACGCCGCGUGUGGGAAGACGGUCCUCUGGAUUGUAAACCACUGUCCCCAGGGACGAAGAUGACGGUACCUGGGGAGGAAGCUCCGGCUAACUACGUGCCAGCAGCCGCGGUAAUACGUAGGGAGCGAGCGUUGUCCGGAAUUACUGGGUGUAAAGGGAGCGUAGGCGGGCGAGAAAGUUGAAUGUUAAAUCUACCGGCUUAACUGGUAGCUGCGUUCAAAACUUCUUGUCUUGAGUGAAGUAGAGGCAGGCGGAAUUCCUAGUGUAGCGGUGAAAUGCGUAGAUAUUAGGAGGAACACCAGUGGCGAAGGCGGCCUGCUGGGCUUUAACUGACGCUGAGGCUCGAAAGCGUGGGGAGCAAACAGGAUUAGAUACCCCCGUAGGC
RNAcentral lists this ribosomal RNA (448 nucleotides) under uncultured bacterium. Its description in RNAcentral is "partial 16S ribosomal RNA". It matches the Rfam family "Bacterial small subunit ribosomal RNA", at positions 330 to 795 of the family's 1533-position model. The record is from RNAcentral.